GCGGCCGCCGGGCGAUUUCGGAAACUGCCGCGGGCCGGAAGGGGGUGGGUAGGAGGCGGCGGAGCUGGGGAGGGAGCGAGGGCGAGGACGCCCCCGCAUGCAUCUCUUCCACCGCCCCAGGAGCCUGCAGACAUUCCGCGCGAUUGGCUCCGAAGUCGAAGUGUGCUUCCCCAGCCACAGAGUCCCAAAAACCGGGACAGGCAUUUGGAGGCGUUAGAGAUCUGGUCAGAGCAAAGGGAAUGAAGGCCAACAGCCAGAGUCGGGCCCGGUGUGCCCGAGGCCCUGACGCUAUUGAUGGCCUAUACGCAUGAGCGCACCUGCUCGGGGAAGCGCGUCCACGCAGCAUCUGUGCGCGCGAUCGUCUUGUCAGUCUCCCUCCAGCUAUUUCUCCCCAGCAGGGAUAGUCUGGGCCGGACUUGCAAUACUUCUGGACUCCCUAGCUGUAGCUGUUUGCCAGUUUUGCUGUUUGCCUCCUUGUCACGACCUCGGAGAGGGCAGAUGGGCGGCCGCCGGGCGAUUUCGGAAACUGCCGCGGGCCGGAAGGGGGUGGGUAGGAGGCGGCGGAGCUGGGGAGGGAGCGAGGGCGAGGACGCCCCCGCAUGCAUCUCUUCCACCGCCCCAGGAGCCUGCAGACAUUCCGCGCGAUUGGCUCCGAAGUCGAAGUGUGCUUCCCCAGCCACAGAGUCCCAAAAACCGGGACAGGCAUUUGGAGGCGUUAGAGAUCUGGUCAGAGCAAAGGGAAUGAAGGCCAACAGCCAGAGUCGGGCCCGGUGUGCCCGAGGCCCUGACGCUAUUGAUGGCCUAUACGCAUGAGCGCACCUGCUCGGGGAAGCGCGUCCACGCAGCAUCUGUGCGCGCGAUCGUCUUGUCAGUCUCCCUCCAGCUAUUUCUCCCCAGCAGGGAUAGUCUGGGCCGGACUUGCAAUACUUCUGGACUCCCUAGCUGUAGCUGUUUGCCAGUUUUGCUGUUUGCCUCCUUGUCACGACCUCGGAGAGGGCAGAUGG
This 1004-nucleotide long non-coding RNA is filed under the name Rattus norvegicus (Norway rat). RNAcentral's name for it is "long non-coding RNA NONRATT027366". Lineage: Eukaryota; Metazoa; Chordata; Mammalia; Rodentia; Muridae. The record is from RNAcentral.